This is a long non-coding RNA of Terrapene triunguis (Three-toed box turtle), 327 nucleotides long. RefSeq lists it as uncharacterized. The record is from RefSeq and is a predicted model, not a curated record. NCBI's taxonomy places the organism in Eukaryota, Metazoa, Chordata, Testudines, Emydidae. The transcript has 3 exons.
UCCAAGUACACAAUAUCCACUGGAUCACCCUUGUCCACAUGGUUGUUGACCCCCUCAAAAGAUCAAUGGGAAGAGAGAAAUACAGUGUCUGUGACAAAAUUUGAAGAGCAAUGACCUGGGCAUUGAUCCAUUCAUUUACAAAGAAUUACAAGGUCACCUUUGUCUACAGUGCUGAUAUAUAUAAUAAUGUAAUGUUUUAUGGCUCUCAUAAGCACAAAGCGUACAAACUCUAUGUCUAAGGUACUCUGAAAUUGCACGGACUUACUGCCAACCACUGUAAAGUCAUGGCUACCACUGAACCCUGCUAGAGCCUGGAGCUGAUGCAUA